This 449-nucleotide ribosomal RNA is filed under the name uncultured Nocardioidaceae bacterium. RNAcentral describes it as "bacterial SSU rRNA". It matches the Rfam family "Bacterial small subunit ribosomal RNA", at positions 37 to 500 of the family's 1533-position model. Lineage: Bacteria; Bacillati; Actinomycetota; Actinomycetes; Propionibacteriales; Nocardioidaceae. The record is from RNAcentral.
UGGCGGCGUGCUUAACACAUGCAAGUCGAACGGUGAAGGGAGCUUGCUCCCGGAUCAGUGGCGAACGGGUGAGUAACACGUGAGCAACCUACCCUUGACUCUGGGAUAACAGUUGGAAACAGCUGCUAAUACCGGAUACGACCCUGGUGGACAUCCACCGGGGUGGAAAGCUCCGACGGUCAAGGAUGGGCUCGCGGCCUAUCAGCAUGUUGGUGAGGUAACGGCUCACCAAGGCGACGACGGGUAGCCGGCCUGAGAGGGCGACCGGCCACACUGGGACUGAGAUACGGCCCAGACUCCUACGGGAGGCAGCAGUGGGGAAUAUUGCGCAAUGGGCGAAAGCCUGACGCAGCAACGCCGCGUGCGGGAUGACGGCCUUCGGGUUGUAAACCGCUUUCAGCAGGGACGAAGCAACACGUGACGGUACCUGCAGAAGAAGCACCGGCUAA